AUUAUUUUAAGAUUAUUUUUUAUUGUUGAAAAAAUUAAAAAUAAAUUGUUUUUAACAAAAAUUAAAAUUUAUAAUAUUUCAUUUUUUGGUUUUUUGUUUUAAAUUAAAAUAAUAAAUAUGGGGGAAAAAAAAAUUUUGUUAUAAAUUAUAUUAGUUUAUUUUAAUUAAAAAUAUUUUUUAUUAAAUUUGUUUUUUUUAUUUUUUUAUAAAAAAUAUUAAUUUAAUUAUUAUUAUUGAGUUUAAUUUAGUUAUUUUUAAAAAAAUUUUGUAUAAAAUAAAUUUGAUAAUAAAUGUUUUUUAAAUUCUUUGGGGGUUUAGUUUAUGAUUUUUUGUUUCUGCUCAUUGUUAAAUAAAAGCACUUUUAGCGUGAUG
RNAcentral lists this ribosomal RNA (372 nucleotides) under Meloidogyne enterolobii. Its description in RNAcentral is "partial 16S ribosomal RNA". Lineage: Eukaryota; Metazoa; Nematoda; Chromadorea; Rhabditida; Meloidogynidae. The record is from RNAcentral.